RNAcentral lists this ribosomal RNA (467 nucleotides) under uncultured bacterium. RNAcentral describes it as "partial 16S ribosomal RNA". It matches the Rfam family "Bacterial small subunit ribosomal RNA", at positions 28 to 507 of the family's 1533-position model. The record is from RNAcentral.
GACGAACGCUGGCGGCGUGCUUAACACAUGCAAGUCGAACGGAAAGGCUCCAGCUUGCUGGAGUACUCGAGUGGCGAACGGGUGAGUAACACGUGGGUAAUCUGCCCUGCACUCUGGGAUAAGCCUGGGAAACUGGGUCUAAUACUGGAUAUGACCUUUCCCCUUAUGGGGUUUGGUGGAAAGUUUUUCGGUGUAGGAUGAGCCCGCGGCCUAUCAGCUUGUUGGUUGGGUGAUGGCCUACCAAGGCGACGACGGGUAGCCGGCCUGAGAGGGUGAUCAGCCACAUUGCGACUGAGAUACGGCCCAGACUCGUACGGGAGGCAGGGGUGGGGAGUAUUACACAAUGGGCGGAAGCCUGAUGCAGCGACGCCGCGUGAGGGAUGACGGCCUUCGGGUAGUGAACCUCAUCCAGCAGAGACGAAGCGUAAGUGACGGUACCUGCAGAAGAAGCACCGGCUAACUAUGUG